ACCAUUCGUUUGUAUAUUCAAAGGACGACAACGUGUUGCCUUGUGCUGCCGGGUGGCCAUUUUCUUGCUCCACCGCGUUAGGGUUUUCAGAGUUUUCCCGCUUUCCCUCGUUUGUUUGGCGCUCCCUAUCAUUCACACAAGUUCAUUCGGCUCAUUUUGUGGCCACAAGAAGAAAAAUGAUCGACCUGUUCCUGCGAGAGCCCAAGUGGAACGACGUCGUAGACGACGAUUCAGCUCGAUCGAGAAUCUCCCUUCUGAAGGACCUGGAAAGCGUAAUUUGGUCCACAGUGGGUCGCGCCGAAGCUCGGUUGUGGCUCUGCAACACCGUCGCCGGAUUGAACUGCGUGACCUUCCUCGAUCAGCGUGACCUCUUUCGGAGUUUGCUCAGAACCCGCGGCCUCAAGCGCGAUUUCGCCUCUCAGCUUCUGCAUUUCAUGUUCGACGCCUCGCCGCACAAGCUCGGUUCCGUUUUGGCUCGGAGGAGUCACGUGCUCCACAAAUUUUUUGAAGGUAAUCCCAAGCGAGUAUCACAGUGGUUUACCUGCUCUUCCUCUGGUGGUGGACUAGAGCAGGGGAAAGGUUUCAGGGCACUGUCCCAGUUUGCAUUUAAAAAUAGAGAUAUUUGUUGGGAGGAGCUAGAGUGGAAAGGAAAGCAUGGGCAGUCACCAGCAGUGGUCGCUACGAAGCCCCAUUAUUUUCUUGAUUUGGAUGUUCAGCAAACUGUGGAAAAUUUUCUUGAGAAUGUUCCUGAAUUUUGGUCAUCUGAUGAGUUUGCUGAGUCAGUGAAGGAUGGUGAUAUUUUUUUCAUUGAUAGGUCAUUCUUUGUGCAUUAUUUCAUUGCCUUAAUGUAUAAUAAAGAGGAAUUUAAAGGUGUAUGGGAUGUCGUAAAUGAAUUCCUCAUGCAGCAGCCUUUCUCCUCCUUAUGUGGGCGUCUUCUUAUUGCUCUUGAAGACCAGGACUUAUGCUAUUUUGUGGAAUCGAUUUGUAAAUCUCUUGGCCCAAGAAUGGAACAUCAACAUUUCAAUGACAUCUCUAGUUAUUUUGUGAUUUUAGUUUUUAAGUGUGGUGCUUAUGGAUCUAUUGAUCAGUUACUGCUGUUAAAUGCUGUCACUGCACAGGGGAGGCAGCUUCUACGCCUCUUACGUGAUGAAGAGGCUUGGGAGCCAAAAGAAAAAAUCAAUGAGAUCGUGUCAAAGAUAUCUGCAAUCCCAAGCAAUCCUAGUAGCUUGACCCCAAUCAUCAAGAACAAAUAUAAGAUGAAAACUAUUGAAGUGAUAAAGUGUCUGGGGCUUCUGUCUUGGCUUCUUUACUAUAGACUGUCACAAGAAUGCCGGACCCCUGAGUCCUGGGAGUCUGUAUUUAUGAAUAAUCAAAUCAGCUUCCGUAACUCUAAGAAACAUGCAUUGCCAGAUGAGGAUGGACCAUCAAAAGAUUGUUCUGGUUUUGAUAGCAGUUCUUCAAUUAGAGUAAAAAAUAGGAGGAAAAAAAAGGCCAGAAAGAAGAGGAGGACCUAUGAAUGCAAUGAAGAUAGUGAUGGGGAGCUGCUAGAUUUUGAUUCUGCAAGCCAGAAGUUGGGUUUUCAGUCAAAUACUAGAAGUUGGUUGCUUUCAACUGAUGGGUACUCUUCAGUAUGGAGCAGUGAUGAUUUACCCGAGUACCUUCAUAGUCAGUGCUUGUCUAAGUGGAUGACAUGGCUUUUUGAAAAAUGAGUUCGUGGUCUGCCUGUAUGGAUCAACCCGAGAGAUGUGCCAUCAUCAUGUCCAAACUGUUGGAUGGAAAGAUCAAUCAUCCCUCAUUUUGCUGUUUUCCACUCAGUUCAUGUACAGAUGCUGUGAUUCUUGAAUCUUCUGUUGGCUAUUGCUCAUAUGCAAAACUUUGUACUUCAUUUUGAAGAUUCGUACAAACAUAACUGGACUUGCUGGGGAUGGGAAAGAUCUGGAAAAUACCAUGAAAAGCCAGCCUAAGAACUCCCUCAAGGUCAUUAAAACUUGAGUUCAUUAUGAAGAUCUUGAAGAGAUCAAAGCUUUGCUAAUUUACUUCGCGGUCUGCUACCAUCUUAUAAUUGGCAACAUAGUUUGUCAUCCAUAUGCUAUGAAUUUCUCUAUCACACUUCAGUCUAGCUUCCAACGUUGCCAGGAUCAUUCAGAUUGCUAUAUGGAGCAUGCUCGGGCUGGUUAUACUAGAACUCCUUGACUAAUUUUCUAACGAUUCUGGCAGUGCUUUCAAAUGUGGGAAUAUAGACUUCGCACUCAUCAUCACCGACUACUCCUCUUUCUCUCCCUCAAUAGUGAUUUUUUCAGCUUUCAAUAUGAUCGAUGGGACUGGAAAGUUGUUACAAAUUGCAAUUAUUCCGUGAGAAAUUAUCGGCAUGCUAAGGGCAUAUUUGAAUAGCAAUGAUGUUUGUCGGCCCCUAUCAAGAGAUGGAAUUUUUUCGUAUAAAACAGAAUACAUUUCUUUAAUUGAUGGAGUUGAGCUCAAUCAGGAAGAUGUGUGCAAUCAUAUUUGGAAAAUUAAGGGUCCGAAGAGACUUCAUUUGCAGGUCUGGAAAGUGUCAAGGGACAAGCUUUCAACAAAUAUUCAAAGGUUCAAGAGACAAAUCUCUCAAUUAUGCAUAUUCAACAAAUAUUCAAAGGUUCAAGAGACUUAUCUCUCAAUUAUGCAUCUUAUUAGAUUGUAAUUAUAUUAAGGAUAUAGAUUUAGACUUUGUUGCGGAAAGAUGUGCCAGAUGAGUUUUAUUGUGAGGUUCUGUAAUGGGUCAGAUUUAACAUUGUUUCAAAAUUCAAGUGCUUUAAAUAAUCCUAUUGAUUGAUACUA
RNA transcript from Cajanus cajan (pigeon pea), 2814 nucleotides. RefSeq lists it as uncharacterized. The record is from RefSeq and is a predicted model, not a curated record. NCBI's taxonomy places the organism in Eukaryota, Viridiplantae, Streptophyta, Magnoliopsida, Fabales, Fabaceae.